This 117-nucleotide transfer RNA is filed under the name Oxalobacteraceae bacterium OTU3CINTB1. Its description in RNAcentral is "tRNA-OTHER". It matches the Rfam family "tRNA". Rfam says of the family: Transfer RNA (tRNA) molecules are approximately 80 nucleotides in length. Their secondary structure includes four short double-helical elements and three loops (D, anti-codon, and T loops). The record is from RNAcentral. Lineage: Bacteria; Pseudomonadati; Pseudomonadota; Betaproteobacteria; Burkholderiales; Oxalobacteraceae.
GCAGAUGUGGCCGAGGGUCGGAGUAACCGCGUUCUAUCAACGGAUGCGACCGGCCGUGGCAAGGCGCCCGGGGUUAAAGCCGGGAAAUCGCGGGUUCGAUCCCUGCCAUCUGCACCA